RNAcentral lists this transfer RNA (72 nucleotides) under Bos taurus (domestic cattle). It matches the Rfam family "tRNA". Rfam says of the family: Transfer RNA (tRNA) molecules are approximately 80 nucleotides in length. The record is from Rfam by way of RNAcentral. Lineage: Eukaryota; Metazoa; Chordata; Mammalia; Artiodactyla; Bovidae. RNAcentral also lists the same sequence under 5 other names.
UCCCUGGUAGCUCAGAUGGUAAAGAAUCUGCCUGCAAUGCAGGAGACCCAGGUUCGAUCCCUGGGUUGGGAU